Molecule: ribosomal RNA, 729 nt
Filed under: Triticum aestivum (bread wheat)
Lineage: Eukaryota; Viridiplantae; Streptophyta; Magnoliopsida; Poales; Poaceae
Description: partial small subunit ribosomal RNA
Source: RNAcentral
AUGUCCAAGCUGGUCAGCCUGCAGUUCUCCUUCCGCUACAAGAAGGGCAUCGACAAUAGUGCAGCGGACGUGCUGUCCCGUGUCGGCCAUCUCGUUGCACUCGAUGCUCUCUCGCUGUGCCAGCCCCAAUGGCUACAGGAGGUGGCUAACUCCUACAAAACUGAUCCUGACUCGCAAGAGCUGCUGGCGAAGGUCGCGGUCACCGCCGUCAACGACCAGGGGCGCACAUUACAGAACGGCGUCAUCAGGCAGCGUGGCCGGCUCUGGAUUGGGGCCAACUCAGCAUUGCAGACCAAGCUCAUCGCCGCCCUCCAUCACAGUGUCGUGGGUGGACACUCCGGCGCCAUGGCAACCUACCACCCCGUCCGCAAGCUGUUCGCCUGGCAAGGUCUGAAGCAUGCUGUGGAGGAUUUUGAGCUGACCAUGGAUUUUGUCAAGGGGUUUCAGAAAUCUGAGGGCUCCGACGCGAUCAUGGUCGCCGUUGACAGGCUGACCAAGUACGCCCACUUCAUGCCGCUUCAUCACCCCUUCACCGCCGUCCAAGUUGCUCGCGCCUUCUGGGAACAUGUCAUCAAGCUUCACGAGAUCCCUCAUUCGAUCGUCUCCGAGCGUGACAAGAUCUUCACUAUCGCCAUGUGGCGCGAAUUGCUCUCCGCCGCAGGAACCAAACUGUUCUACUCCACUGCGUACCACCCACAGACGGAUGGCCAGAUGGAGCGGGUCAACUAG